AUUCUGUGCACUGUAGGCGCCGUGCCUCCCUGCUGUGCCCACUCCCCAAAGCAGCGUUCUAAACGGGCGGUAGAGCCGCACCGUUGCCCUUCCAACACCACGGCAACACAACGGCACAAUCGAACGUUCUAUUCUUUCCCACUUCACAGGGGAAAGGCGCACUUCAGGCCGAGUCCCGUGCCGGACGCGUUUUCUGAGGCGCUUCAAUUUCUGCGUGUUUGCGGCCCACUCGCCCACGUUCUCGCCGUGCUUUCCCGCGCAGCCCCGCCUCCACCCGUGUUCGCUGUGCACGCCGGUCCGUCGCGGUUGCUGACGCUUUGGCGCUUCCCGGUGACAAGCGGGCGGCUUGGUGUGGUUGGUCGGAGCCGGAGCCCGGAGGGGGGUGGGGGCGAGCAGGGGGGUGGGGGCGAGCGGGCGGGCGGGCAGCGCGGGGCCGGCCGGCGCCCAGAGCGCGAGGCGGCAGCGGGCGAAGGUCGCGAGGCAGCGGGGCUCGGGGUUGAGGCGCGCCCGGCUGAGGAGAGGCGGAGCGGAAAGGCCGGCGGAGCGGAGCUUUGGAGAGCGGGGCGGAGGGGAGGAGCAGGGGCAGGCCGACAGGGGCCCCGACGCCUUCCAGGCCGCGCGGCGCGUGGCUUGGCGGGCGGUGAAGGCGCAGAGCGAGGGAGCGGCCCGGCGGAAAGGAGGGCAGCCGAGGGGCCGCGUCCCAGCAUGGCCUCGGGUGGCGGCGGAGGAGCGGGAGGAGGAGCCGGCGGCGGCGGCGGCGGCAAGAUCCGGACCCGGCGGUACCACCUGGGCACCGCGAAUCCUCCGUACCGCAGGAGCAGGCAGGUGAGGAGCGGCGGAGCGGGGCCGACCCUCUCUCGGUCCCCACGUGCGAGGCGGCGGGUGAGGGGCGGGAGGGCGGCCCCUUUUGUUCCCCUCGGUGCCGGCGGCGGGACUGGCAGGGAAGAGGCCUCACCGCCCGGCGGGAGGGAGCGGGGACGGGAGCGGCCCUUCCCUCAUCUUCGCCCGCCCCGCGCUCCGCGUGCGGCCCGGGAAUGGAGGGGGCGGGGAACAAAGGCCGGGAGGUUACAGCCCCUCCGAGCGGCCCGAGGAGCGGGAGGGGAGUAUGUUGGUACCCAGUGCCUGUGGGUGCCCAGUGCCCGCUGGCUUCGUAUGGUUGUGCCCGAUCUGCGUCCUGUUCUUUAA
RNAcentral lists this long non-coding RNA (1185 nucleotides) under Coturnix japonica (Japanese quail). Its description in RNAcentral is "lncRNA (ENSCJPG00005017123.1)". Lineage: Eukaryota; Metazoa; Chordata; Aves; Galliformes; Phasianidae. The record is from RNAcentral.